Molecule: ribosomal RNA, 464 nt
Filed under: uncultured bacterium
Lineage: Bacteria
Description: partial 16S ribosomal RNA
Rfam family: Bacterial small subunit ribosomal RNA
Source: RNAcentral
GACGAACGCUGGCGGCGUGCUUAACACAUGCAAGUCGAACGGUAAGGCCCCUUCGGGGGUACACGAGUGGCGAACGGGUGAGUAACACGUGAGCAACCUGCCCUUGACUUUGGGAUACCAGCUGGAAACAGCUGCUAAUACCGGAUAUGACCUCUUCUCUCAUAGGUUGAGGUGGAAAGCUCCGGCGGUCAGGGAUGGGCUCGCGGCCUAUCUGCUUGUUGGUGAGGUAAUGGCUCACCAAGGCUUCGACGGGUAGCCGGCCUGAGAGGGCGACCGGCCACACGGGGACUGAGAUACGGCCCAGACUCCUACGGGAGGCAGCAGUGGGGAAUAUUGCACAAUGGGCGCAAGCCUGAUGCAGCAACGCCGCGUGCGGGAUGACGGCCUUCGGGUUGUAAACCGCUUUCAGUAGGGACGAAGCUAACGUGACGGUACCUACAGAAGAAGAACCGGCUAACUACGUG